RNAcentral lists this ribosomal RNA (484 nucleotides) under uncultured bacterium. RNAcentral describes it as "partial 16S ribosomal RNA". It matches the Rfam family "Bacterial small subunit ribosomal RNA", at positions 28 to 523 of the family's 1533-position model. The record is from RNAcentral.
GAUGAACGCCGGCGGCGUGCUUAACACAUGCAAGUCGAACGGUGAAGCAGGAGCUUGCUCUUGUGGAUCAGUGGCGAACGGGUGAGUAACACGUGAGCAACCUGCCCCUGACUCUGGGAUAAGCGCUGGAAACGGCGUCUAAUACUGGAUAUGUGAUGUGACCGCCUGGUCUGCAUCUGGAAAGAAUUUCGGUUGGGGAUGGGCUCGCGGCCUAUCAGCUUGUUGGUGAGGUAAUGGCUCACCAAGGCGUCGACGGGUAGCCGGCCUGAGAGGGUGACCGGCCACACUGGGACUGGGACACGGCCCAGACUCCUACGGGAGGCAGCAGUGGGGAAUAUUGCACAAUGGGCGGAAGCCUGAUGCAGCAACGCCGCGUGAGGGAUGACGGCCUUCGGGUUGUAAACCUCUUUUAGCAGGGAAGAAGCGAAAGUGACGGUACCUGCAGAAAAAGCACCGGCUAACUACGUGCCAGCCGCCGCAGUAA